AUCAGAUUCUCGUACUCAAACUCACUUACAAGCUAAAUUGCAGCAGUAAGCUAACAAUAGAGCUUGUAGAAAUGGUAUGCACCACUUGCCAUUGAAGCUGCAUUAUCUCAAAUGAAAGCCUGUAACUACCUGUUGAAGAAAUCCGAGAUUGAAAGAAAUUUGAGAGCGAGAGAAGAGUGAGCAAUCGGUGAGAGGAUGAGAAGAGACUUGAUUUUUCUCCAGAG
Molecule: long non-coding RNA, 224 nt
Filed under: Solanum lycopersicum (tomato)
Lineage: Eukaryota; Viridiplantae; Streptophyta; Magnoliopsida; Solanales; Solanaceae
Description: partial TCONS_00124157
Source: RNAcentral